Molecule: long non-coding RNA, 1066 nt
Filed under: Oreochromis niloticus (Nile tilapia)
Lineage: Eukaryota; Metazoa; Chordata; Actinopteri; Cichliformes; Cichlidae
Description: lncRNA (ENSONIG00000039878.1)
Source: RNAcentral
ACAAAAACCAUGAUUUGGCAAAAUACUAUGAUUGAGCAGAAGUACUAAGAUGUAGUAAAAGUACUUUGAUUUAACAGAAAUACAAUUAUAGAGGAGUAAUACUCUAAAAUGGGAGAAAUAUUGAUACACACACACAUACACAGAGCCUAAAGGGAAGAGUAUUUGUGCCAUGGAGUGUUAACAAGAAUCUGAGGUCAAUAUUAGAAAAGCUGCUAAAAUCAUAAAAGUUUGCAGAAUUGUAGUAAAUGAUCAAUAUGAAUUAGUGGUCUGUGACAGUGUAGUAAAUUGUAGGUAAAAAAAAACAUGUUGACCAAGGUGGAAUUGAACCCACGACCUUUGGGUUGCAGACCUGUGUCAUCACAAACUGUGCCACUGGGAAAGAGAACGAGCACCUGGAAAACAGGGUGAUGAACUGUCAGAUUUAGAUCGCGGUGAGAGGCAAAGAGCGCCGUUUUUUGGAGUUACAAAACGUCAUGUAACUCAAAAACUAGGUGGACUAGAAUUCUUAUACUGGGUGAAUCAGCGGACUUUGGUGUACUUUGACUGUGAUUUGCAUUGCUCUUUGUACAUCCGUCGCUGAGAUAUGACGAGAGAAGAAAGGGCAGACCUCAGAUAUGAUUGGCUGGCUGGGAAGCCGUGCAGGCCCUGAUACGAAAAUUUGAAUGUCUCAGUCCUCACAGAGGACCUGGCAAAAAUAUAUAGAAAUAGUAUGAUUAAGCAUAAAUACUACAUUUAGCAGAAAUACUGUAUUAAGCACAAAUCGUAUAAAAAGCAAAAAUACUAUAUUAAGCAAUAUAAAAUCCUAUAAAAAUCCUAUGAAAAGCAAAAAUACUGUACUAUGAUUUGGUAGAAAAACUAUAAUUAAUCAGAAAUACUAUAUUUGGCAGAAAUACUAUAUUUAGCACAAAUCUUAUAAAAUAGCAGAAAUAGUAUGAUUCAGCACAAUAGUAAUAACUUAAACCGAAACAUUGGAAAAGCAAAAUGAACAGUUGAAAAAAUGCUGAACAUGCUAAGGGUCCCUCAAAUGUAAUUGUGAAAUGAAAAAAAAUCAGCAAAAAAAAGUAUA